GCAUAAUUGGGAAUUUAGGGUUAAGUGUGAACCUUAGAGCUUGAAGAAAUCCACCUCCGUGAAACGCACGAAACGGCGCCGGUGCUCCUUGCCACUCAUCUUCUCCGACGUAAAUCCCUGGCCACCGUCGUAGACACGACGGAAUGAAUUCAACCUCGCCUCGGUUCCCCUUCCCUCAUCGCUCCUCUCUGAUACAGUGUUGUUGUUGUUGCGGCUUGAUGCGGUGAUGAGGCGAUGAAGAUAUCGGUGAUGAGAAAUCAGAGUAAGUGUUGACGUUGACCUUUUACUUCCUCUCUCUGAUUCUUCUCUUUUUUCUCUGUAGAUUUUGAGGGAUGAAGGUAUCAGAUGCGAGAGACAAAGGAAGUUUCUGCAGAAUCGAUGAUUUGAGAUUGAAGAAUUCGUGAAGAAAGGUGGAUGAAGAAGAUGAUGGAAGUAUGGUGAUUUUCAGAAAGAGUGCGAAGAUGGUCAAGUGAAGGGUGAGGAAUGUAUAUGGAGGAGGAUAAUGGAAGCAGGGUGGUGAAGUCAGGGUGAUGAUGAAUGAAUGAAGAAAGGUUGAAGGUUCUGUAUGUGAAGAUCGAUUCUGAAUCUGAAGAUUGAAGAUGAAAGUGAGGUAUGAAGUGUGGAGAGUGAAUGGUUAUGGGGUGAAGAAGUAGAGUGAAGGCAGAGAAUGAAGCUGAAGAAUGAAGAGAAUCCCUGUUAUAUAGAUAUGCAGCCAAUCGGAUUUUGAAGGUUAGAUCCAUUCUCUGAAUUUUCUAUUAACUGUUUCAGUUAAAUUCUGUUAGAGUCCUGUAACUGAUUCUGUUGGAGGUUAUAUGUCAGUUGGUUAGAGAUUAGAAAAGGUUAGUUACAUGUUAGUAGAAGUUAGUUUGUAACUGAAUCUGUUAUGAGGUUGUUAGGGUUGUUAUGUGGUUUGUAACUAAUUUCUGUUGGAUCUAUCAUAACUGUUAAAACUGCUAGGUGGUUAGAAAUAGUAUGUUACAAACUGCUCUUUUCUGUUAUAAAAAUUGGUUAGAGGUAGUUAAAAUGAACUGACUCAAAUAGGAGGUUAAACUGAAAUUGGUUUAGGAAAGUUCUGUUAUGGCUUUUGGAUGCAGAGCUGAUCUGAAUGUGUAGUUAAUGCAGGUUUUCAAGUGUUUGGAUGCUGCAAGUUUCUGAGCCUUGCUCUUAAUGAUAAGUGAUGCGAACUUAUUUUUUUGUGAUUUGGAAAAGGCUGGAACAUGGCAUUGGCAGUAAGAUGGCAGUGUGAAGUUUGGAGGAGAAGGUCAUUUGAAAGUUUAUGGCAAAGGGUUUAGAAGUAAUAGGCUUUAUGAAAUCAUGUCGUCUUGGUUUGAAGCAUAUCUUUGUGUAGUCUUCUUUGUACUCUCUUUGUAAUGGAAUUGUAUUGUUGUAAUGGAGACAUUUGGUAACAGAACUUGUAAUUUUGA
Vicia villosa (hairy vetch) is the source of this 1424-nucleotide long non-coding RNA. RefSeq lists it as uncharacterized. Lineage: Eukaryota; Viridiplantae; Streptophyta; Magnoliopsida; Fabales; Fabaceae. The transcript is spliced from 3 exons. The record is from RefSeq and is a predicted model, not a curated record.